This 374-nucleotide ribosomal RNA is filed under the name uncultured organism. Its description in RNAcentral is "bacterial SSU rRNA". It matches the Rfam family "Bacterial small subunit ribosomal RNA", at positions 526 to 897 of the family's 1533-position model. The record is from RNAcentral.
CAGAGGGGGCAAGCGUUGUUCGGAAUUACUGGGCGUAAAGGGCGCGUAGGCGGCCUGCUAAGUCGAACGUGAAAUCCCUGGGCUCAACCCAGGAACUGCGUCCGAUACUGGUUGGCUUGAAUCCGGGAGAGGGAUGUGGAAUUCCAGGUGUAGCGGUGAAAUGCGUAGAUAUCUGGAGGAACACCGGUGGCGAAGGCGACAUCCUGGACCGGCAUUGACGCUGAGGCGCGAAAGCCAGGGGAGCAAACGGGAUUAGAUACCCCGGUAGUCCUGGCCCUAAACGAUGAAUGCUUGGUGUGGUGGGUAUCGAUCCCUACCGUGCCGAAGCUAACGCAUUAAGCAUUCCGCCUGGGGAGUACGGUCGACAAGGCUAG